AGGGUUUGAUCCUGGCUCAGGAUGAACGCUGGCGGCGUGCUUAACACAUGCAAGUCGAACGGAACUCUUUGGAUCGAGACUUCGGUCAAGUGAAUCUGAGUUUAGUGGCGGACGGGUGAGUAACGCGUGAGGAACCUGCCUUGGAGUGGGGAAUAACAGUUGGAAACGACUGCUAAUACCGCAUGAUGCGAUUGUCUCGCAUGGGACUGAUCGCCAAAGAUUUAUCGCUCUGAGAUGGCCUCGCGUCUGAUUAGCUAGUUGGUGGGGUAACGGCUCACCAAGGCGACGAUCAGUAGCCGGACUGAGAGGUUGGCCGGCCACAUUGGGACUGAGACACGGCCCAG
This 344-nucleotide ribosomal RNA is filed under the name uncultured bacterium. Its description in RNAcentral is "bacterial SSU rRNA". It matches the Rfam family "Bacterial small subunit ribosomal RNA", at positions 8 to 334 of the family's 1533-position model. The record is from RNAcentral.